UUUUUUUUUCUAAUGCCCUUUUCAUACUACCCCUUUUCAAUUCUACCCUUUUCUAUUUACCAUUUUCAUUUAUAUCCUAUUUCAAUUUUUAAUGACCAUUUUACCCCUAUUUGUAAAUUGAUUUAGGUUAACAAAAUGAAAUAUUAAUAUUUUUCGCCUAAAAUAUUCCAAAAUAAAAUUUCUCGCCAAAAUUUUCCUGCCAAAAAUUUUCGAAAAAAGUUUCCCGCCAAAAAAUUUCGGAAAAAUUUUCUCGCCAAAAAAUUUCGAAAAAAAAUUUCCCGCCAAAAAAAAUUUCGAAAACAAUUUUCCCGUAUUUUUUUUUUUUUGGCGGGAAAUAGGUUUACAAGGAAUUUUAAAAGGGUUUUAAAAUAUUUUAAAAGAUUUACAAGAGAUUUUAAAAGGGAUUAAAAGAUUUACAAGAGAUUUUAAAAGGUUUUUAAAAUAUUUACAAGGAAUUUUAAAGGGCUUUAAAAGACUUACAAGAGUUUUUAAAAUUUUUUUAAAGGGUUUAAAAGUGUUUUAAAAGAUUUACAAGAGAUUUUUAAAGGGUUUUAAAAUAUGUACAAGAGUUUUUAAAAGAUUUUAAAAGAAAUUAUAAGAAAACCCUUUAAAAACUCUUGUAAAUCUUUUUAAAACCUUUUGUAAAGGUUCACAAGAGUUUUAAAAUAGUUCAAAAAGAGUUGUAAAUGUUUUAAAUACUUACAAUUCUUUUUCUAAGAGUUAAACAAUGCUUGUAAAGACUUUAUAAGAGUUUUAAAAAGAUUUACAAAUGUUUAAAAUCCUUGUAAUUUUUUUUAAAACUCUUUAAAAACUCUUGUAAAUCAUGUUUUACCCUUUUAUAAGCUUUUAAAAUCCUUAUAAAUCAUUGUAUACUACUUAUUUAUCUUUUAAAAACGAUUGUAAACUAUGCAAACCUUUUUAAAAAUCCCUUGUAAAUCAUUCGUUAACACUUACUUAUGCUUUAAAAACGAUUAUAAAUCAUGUUAACCCCUUUUUAAAUCUCUUGUAAAUCAUUUAAUGUCACUUACUUAUGCUAUAAAACGAUUGUAAACCAUACAAACACUUUUAAAAUCUCUUGUAAAUCAUUCUAUGCCACUUACUUAUGCUUUUAAAACGAUUGUAAAUCAUGUUUUACCCUUUUAUAAGCUUUUAAAAUCUCUUGUAAAUCAUUCCAAUACCACUUACUUAUACUUAAAAAAACAUUGUAAACCAUGCUAACCCUUUUUAAAAAUCCUUGUAAAUCAUUCUAUGCCACUUACUUAUGCUUUAAAAACGAUUGUAAAUCAUGUUUUACCCUUUUAUAAGUUUUUAAAAUCCCUUAUAAAUCAUUUAAUGCUAUUUACUUAUGCUAAAAAACGAUUGUAAACCAUGCUAACCCUUUUUAAAUCCCUUGUAAAUCAUUCUAUGCCACUUACUUAUGCUUUAAAACGAUUGUAAAUCAUGUUUUACCCUUUUAUAAGUUUUUAAAAUCCCUUGUAAAUCAUUCAAUGCCACUUAUUUAUGUUUAAAAAACGAUUGUAAAUCUUGUAAAACUAUUGUAAAAAGUUUUAAAAUGAUUUACAAAGGUUUAAAAAGGGGGUUUUAAAGUAUUUAUCUAUGUUUUUAAAGAUUUUAUAAAGAUUUUAAGAGGUUUUAAAAUGAUUUACAAGAGUUUUUAGCAACUACCAAAGCUUUUAAAAAACUUUACAAGGUUUUCUAAAAAAUUUACAAGGAUUUUUAAAAGCAUUUUUUUGGCUGGGAAAAAAAAUUUACGAGAAAAAAUUUUGGCGGGAAUUUUUUUUUUGGCGGGAAAAAUAAAUUUGGCGGAAAACUUGAAGUUUCCAGUUACAUGUUCUUAUUAGAUGAGGGUAAUUUGGUCAUUUUGUUCAAAAGAAAGGAUAUUUUCAAAAAUGAACAAUAUAAAAAAGUAUUAUUGCAAAAAGGUAGUAAAAAAAUGAUACUUUUGCAAAUCUCUCUAGAAAAUAAGUUAAAUAUAGGGAGAUUGAUUUGUUUUGCACUUACGAGUAUAAAAUACUACUACUAAGGAAUGUUCUGUGCACGUUUCUUUGUCGUACUGUUGUCUCCCAAUUCUUAUCUAGUUUUCAGCUACAAAAUAAUAAUUUCUCAAAUAUCUCGCACCCAAUCAU
This 2126-nucleotide small RNA is filed under the name Arabidopsis thaliana (thale cress). RNAcentral's name for it is "ATSL007870". Lineage: Eukaryota; Viridiplantae; Streptophyta; Magnoliopsida; Brassicales; Brassicaceae. The record is from RNAcentral.